GCCGUGCCUUUUUCUUUAUGUUUUUUUUUUCCCUCCUCUUUUUUACCUUGCCUUUCCCUAAGAGACUGUUUUCUUACUAACAUUCUUCUUUUUUUCCUCCUUUAAACAAUCUAAUAUUUCGCGGUUUCUUCGAUUUUUUUACAAAACAUGUUUCGUUUUCAACUCGAGUUCUACGGCAAACUAUAGAAUCAAUUUUCUUAUUAUAUUACUUCUUUUUCCUGGUUCGCCUCCUUCUCGCUGUUCUUUUGUCUAUCCGCAAUGGCACGGCAGUCGAAU
This 276-nucleotide long non-coding RNA is filed under the name Ananas comosus (pineapple). Its description in RNAcentral is "long non-coding RNA (ACOM_LNC037240)". Lineage: Eukaryota; Viridiplantae; Streptophyta; Magnoliopsida; Poales; Bromeliaceae. The record is from RNAcentral.